GUGGGGAAUAUUGGACAAUGGGCGAAAGCCUGAUCCAGCCAUGCCGCGUGUGUGAAGAAGGUCUUCGGAUUGUAAAGCACUUUAAGUUGGGAGGAAGGGCAGUAAGUUAAUACCUUGCUGUUUUGACGUUACCGACAGAAUAAGCACCGGCUAACUUCGUGCCAGCAGCCGCGGUAAUACGAAGGGUGCAAGCGUUAAUCGGAAUUACUGGGCGUAAAGCGCGCGUAGGUGGUUUUGUAAGUUGGAGGUGAAAUCCCCGGGCUCAACCUGGGAACUGCCUCCCAAACUGCAUGACUAGAGUACGGUAGAGGGUAGUGGAAUUUCCUGUGUAGCGGUGAAAUGCGUAGAUAUAGGAAGGAACACCAGUGGCUAAGGCGACUACCUGGACUGAUACUGACACUGAGGUGCGAAAGCGUGGGGAGCAAACAGGAUUAGAAACCCCAGUAGUCC
This 450-nucleotide ribosomal RNA is filed under the name uncultured bacterium. Its description in RNAcentral is "partial 16S ribosomal RNA". It matches the Rfam family "Bacterial small subunit ribosomal RNA", at positions 354 to 796 of the family's 1533-position model. The record is from RNAcentral.